GUCCUUCCUACUUAACCGAAUUUAACUCAUACAUCAGGCAACAACACCCUAAGUAUAAGUUCCAUACUUUAGCCUAUACCAAACAAUUAACAAAAAUUAGGCUCACGUUUCCAAGAUAAUUAAAUUCAAGACUACAGAUAGAAAUCAUUUAUAGCUUUCUAACCCACUACGCUAAUUAGUUCAUACAGUACACUAGACAAACAACAAUAUCACAUAUGACUAGACUGACCACAUCAGAUACGAAGAACCAAUUUAAUUAUACGUUGCACAACUAAUAUGUUUAACUAAAUUCAUCCGACCAAAAGCAGAAGUAACAAAUUGGCUACUAUUACCUAAAUCUGACUUGAAACCGCGAGAUUGACAAUGAUGCCCAGUUCGAGCCUUUCAUUGCGCCACAGGUGGACAACGAAUAGGGACCUUCACGCAAACACACACACAUACAUAAAUCCACAGCUAGCCACAUCGGCGUCUGAUAAGAAAUUAAACAGAGCGAGGACUGCAAGUAUCACCAGUGGGGACGCAAGACGCGACAAGGCCGUUGGAAUAAUGACAGUUCCGAGGGUCAGGCGUUUCAUCGAACAUCUGGCGGCUGAAGCGAGGACGACAUCGAAUCCCAAGAGACGGACAGUGCGUCGACGGCCGAGUCUCACAUUUAGCCGGACAAGUGGCACACGAGGCGCGACGGGAAGGAGUUUGACGCGUCAAGUCUAAAGAAAGCGCGACAUCAACGAUGCUGCAAGCAGUGCUUGAAGUCGAAAAUGCACGACAAAGGAGACGGGGACAGCCACUGUACAACACCAUGGAACUUGGUGCGGCCAUAGCAUGGCACACAAAAAUAGCAGUGCCCGACCACCAUGGCCAACCCCGGCCAGCCUUCCCGUGCGGCCAUGGCACGACGAGAACCUAAAUGAGUGGACAAGGAUGAUGAUGACGCCACGCACGACGUUCGAUGGUAGGAUCGACAACGAUACAAGAUGGUGGCGUAAAGAGCUGCAGGGCUAGCGAGCUGAAGCAAGUGACGGAGACAGCCGCGUCCGAUAGCAAGCCCGUAGCGACGCACGACAGUGGGGAGCUCGGCACGAUGGGGAGCAGCGACCAUCGGCGUGAGGAGAGCCAGGAAAACGACACGCAUACAAAACGAUCCUGGGCGCGACGGGAAUGAUGGAAACGUGCAGCAUGGACAGAAGGAACUCGGCACCAUUGCUGGCCGAGGCGAGUGCGCUUGGACAUGGACACCGAGGCGAAGAGAGGAAAACCAAAAGGUGAUCGGGGAUGUGACGGCCGGACAUCAAGUGCUCCCCGGAUUUGGGCGAGCGAUGCUGGCUGCUUCAUUCCCCCGUUCGUCGUGCCAGAACUCCAGAUGCUCUGUGCGGGCGCGAACGCAUACCGGCCAUGAGCAGUGCAGGCAAGCACGGCCGGUGGAGAGUUGGGUCUAGAGGGAGAAGAUAAGGUGUGCGCCGUAGAAGAGACCGAUGGCACCAGAGGCCCUGGUGAUCUCCCCAUGGUGAUGCAGGGGUACAUGUACCUGAGCCCCAUCCCACCGUACACCAUGACUGAAGCUCGGAAGUCAGGGAGAGGGACGCGGCAGAGGGGGUUCAGGCGAGGUCGACGGUGCGGCUUCCAUGGUCGAGCAGGGAGGAGCGCGGCGUGCUUGAGGGAGGCGAGCUGAGGGGGGGCGGCCAUGGCAGGGAAGAGCGCCGGCACGAAGAGAUCUGAGCUGGGCGAGCACGGUAGUAAGAUGGGCGUGCGGCCAACCUGGAGAGCAGGGGCGCGACGAGUUUGGGGAUUGGGCAGAGCGCCGGUCGAGGGAGAGAGUGUUGGGAGGCCUCGGCACAGGGGCUGGGCGCCGUGGGAGCUUGGCAAGGAGGAGAAGAAAAACUGGGUGCGCUGCGCGUGGCCGGAGGAGAAGCGGCUGGGGAAGAUAAGGACGUGAACGGCUUCAGGAAAUAUCCCGGUCAGCGCGAGCAGAAAAAUCUGAGAGGGGCGGUGAGCCGGUGACAGCAGAUGGAGACGGCUGGGAUUUUUCUGAGGUGCUUGAGCGGCGCGGCCAAAAAAAUCUGAGAGAGCGAGAGCAACUGGAAAAAUUCAAGGGUAGAGAGAGAACAGCGGGAGGGAGAAAAUAUUUUCAUUUCUUUUAUUUUUGCACUCACGAGUUUAAAUACAAACGUAAAUAUUAGCGGGGGUUAAGGCUAGAAUUCGGAAAGUUAUAAGGGAAUUAAGGGCCUGUUUAGUUUGUGGCUAAAUGUGUUACACUUUGCCUAAGGUUAGUCGUUCGAAUUGAAUAACUAACCUUAGGCAGAAAAGUUAGGCAAAAUGUGGCAACUGAGGUAGUGAACCAAACAGGCCCUAAAUUAAAAUGGUUUUGGUCACCAUAUUUUAAUCGGUGUUAGAGUAAUUGAAAUCAGACAAACUUCGUCUGGUUUUCCUUGGAUUCCGAGUGUGAUCCGAUUAAAUUUUACAUUAAACUUUUGUCGUUGAGUUCAAAUAAAUUCGUUUGGAGAUAAAAUCAUCAGAGUGGGUCGGGCCUCCGAGUUCGUAUUCGCGCGAGUGAUGAUUUUAAAUAAUCACCGGACACACCGAUUUUUGGAACAACGAUGUUCCAAACAUCACGAAAGUUUAGGAUGAGCCCGGAUAGAUAAAGACGAUGCCGAACUCGCGACAGACGAAACAGAUGUGAUAUUAAAAUCGCGAUAGACAAAGAUGAUUAAAAUUUAGCAUCCGUUUUAUCCACUGAUAUUACGUGCUUAAAUCCAUACUCGUUGUCGAGCAGAAUAUAAACACCAGGGGUGUUACAACCCUCCACCUUAAAAGAAUCUCAUCCCGAGAUUCGGAGCGAAAGACUUUUAAAAGUAGAGAAGCAUGUAACCCAUGUCCAUAUUAGCGAUAACCAUAAGACAACUCCAAGCAAAGACGAGUGCCUCAGGAUGGGGUUUCUUUAGUGAACAUAAAAUAUAUCGCCUUAAGCUAAUUUUAGAGAUGUCUACCAAUGGAGACGAUGUCUGCCAGAAGAACACAUAAGGUCCCAUGUGUGCAGUUUGCUUUUUCUGAUGACACUGUACUAUCUAAGUCUGUUGAGAGAGCGGCAAAUACGCGAUUUUACCCAAACAGAAUCAGAUGCAACCUCUUGGGUAAAACAUACAGAAAGAGGUUUACCAACAAGUGGUCACUGGAAAUUCAUAGCACAUAAGACGUGUGUGAAUGUCGUAUAACAUCACAGUUAGCUCGUGUUAGCCAGAGAAUCCAAGUCCAAGAAAAAUGAUAAAGACUUGAAAAAUCACCAGCGAAGGAAUCUGUAGAUGCAGACUUUGUGUCUAAUCCAUGUUAUCAAGCACUAGGCAUGGCUCGACUUGAUCUCACAUGCUGGAAAAGCACACGUGAGGCGAUCGAGGUAUGGCUAGAACGAUAAUUAGGGGAUCAUUAGCGACUUAAUCUUGAUUCUUAUAAGUACUUCCUUUAAAGGGGUUAUACAAAAGUGAGUUUAGACAACUCGAUAAAACGAUCUCUAAACUCAACCUUUGUUCAUUGGGCAGUUACAAGUUAGUAAAACCAACUUGUUGAACUACUUUUGACAUUGAGCAGGUCCUCUCAGUACCAUCGGUAAGCCAAGGGUUGAGAGUUCACAUUUGCUAAUAGGAGAUCAUGUAUUUGGGUAGAAAUUCAUUUGGUCAGGUUGUUCUUCCGUUUCUUCAUGCGAGAUGAAUUAUCCACUUGGUUAAGGAAUAUAGGGAUUAAUAAGAGAGUGAAUGAACAAACUCCUGCAUCUUAGCAGCAGGGGAAACAAAUCUCCACUUUGAGAGCUAAUCAGUUGUCUCUCAACACUAAAAAGCUCCAAGGCUUCACCUUUACACAAAGGAUGUAAAGGGAACUUCUAUAAGUAGUCACUACCAAGAUCAAAAAAAGAGACCACACCUAAAAGUGGUAUGCCCCUUUUGAUCCAACUGAGAUGAUGGACGUUGCUUGAUCACUUGACAAACAACAUAGAAAUUGUUUCAAGGAAGAGAUCUACGGGAGAUAACACAUCAGUGUAGUUCCACAAUGGAUCAUGACCAGAGACCUUGGUACUGGCAUGCGCCAAGCAGCAAAAUCCUGUGUGCGCAUUCACAGGAGGCCCUCAGUUUUGCCGCGGUACCAUAAGUCCUUAACCAUGACACCAUUACAAAACUGGCACCAAUAAUGAAUCUCACGUGGUAAGAACAAUUCGUGCAGAGAUAACAUAUUGAUAUAAUCUCAUAAUGGAUUAUGACUACCAACUAUGAUACUAGUGUGUGCCGAGCAGCACAACCGUGUGUGCGCACACACAGAAGGCCCCCGAUUUCGUCACGGUAUCAUCAAUUUUAGUCAUAACGCCAAUACCAGACAUAACCAAUAAGAAAUCUCGCGCGGCACCAAUAGACUAGGCAAGGAUGGCAAUAUACGAAAAGACUCUACCUAUCAAAACGGUUACAAGUAGAGAGUCAAAUAGAUCAUGGCCCGAUGAAACGAACAAGGUAUGGCCAUAACUAGACUUGUUAAUGAAAGGAGUACGAUGGGAGACUGUUAAUUCAGCCCCGAGCAUAUUUCUAUGCCCAUCACAGAGAUCACAAGGUCAAGGAUCAGUAUCUGCUUAGAUACGGAGGGAAAACAAUCAUAAGAUGAAGUUGGUAUGCCUUCAACAGAUAUGGGGAACCAAAGACAUCAAAUUCAAGAAAUGAUGAGACAUGUCUUUCCUAGAUUAGGUUGAUAAAGCAACAUGGCGAUCCUUAAGAACAGACAAACUGGAUUAGAGACAUCAACUUACGCCAAUCGAAUAAGGACGUGAUCUAGGAUGGAAAUAUGACUCAAGAUUCUCAUUUUAAGCCCGAGUACACUUUAGGUUCAGCAAAGAAAUUACCUAAGCAUUUAUUUGCAUGAGUUUGGUCAUGGAGUGAUAAUGGAAAAUUCAAAUUUGGAUCAUGGUUCACCAACUAAGAACAUGGCCUAAUUUUCGGUUUAGGCAAACAAAUUACCAACCUUCUAUCGGCACAUCGGGUACCAGACCAAACACAUAUAACAUCUAAAUAUAUUACCUAAAGAACAGAGGACAGCUAUUUCAUCGAAGUUCACAAUACAACAUUACACCACAUUAUCUACAAUCACCGGUUAUUAGAAUAAAGGUGAGAGAAGCAUUUUAGGUGUAUAGGUGACAAACAUGAUGCAACAAUCAGGAUGCAUGCUCGUCUUAUUCGUCCUCACUGAUUUUGCCAACAUAAUGUGGCCAUAGUGUUCUAUAUCGGUGGCAUACGUUCUCUCUCAGUAUUUUGCUAAUCGUCAGCUACACAUACGUUUUCGAAGUUAGUGUACCUGCAGAAAAAUCCAUCACAACCCAUUUUCCAAUGAUGCAGUUCACACAUGAUAGUUUAUCAUAGUUUAUACUCCAUAUAUUGCUAUAUGGAGGCCAGCUCAUCAUUAAGCGCCGAGCCACGCAUAGGCGCCGUUGCCACACUUUAACCAUAGGGCAACUCAUUAUGGUAACUCACCUUCUUACCUGAGCGUAGGUGCGUCAUUGCGAGUACAUUACACUUCUCAGUAUUCCCAUGUUUGUAUACCCAUACACAUCCAUGGGGUACUGAAUUCCCAGAAAAUUAAAUACUCCACAUCGCAGCCUUCAUAUAUACAUAUGUGGAACAUGUAUAUAAUCAAGCACCACAAUUAAGCACUCCCAUAGACCGACGUUUGUUCGGUCAUGCUCGCACAUCUCACCUUACCUUGAGCGUCGAUUCAUUCACAAUCAAAUGGCCUCAAAAAUAAAAAUACACAUGUAUGCAAUACCCCCGGUUGUGGGUUAGUGGUUUUUAACUAAGCCACCUAAUAGUCCUUAGUUUAGGGCUUAACAGAGGAUGUCGCUAGCAUUAUAGUUUUUCAAAGCCAAACAAUGUGUUUACUUGAAAAUAGGUUUUCUAAAACCAAAACUUUGUUUUUAAAAUACGUAUGUGACCGUAUUAUACUUAAUCCUGCUCCGAUACCAGCUGUGGCAGAACCUCCCAAGUUAUUGGGCCCACAUGCACCUGCCCUUAUCUCAAAGACCUCAGACGGCUAUGCAUGUGCACCAGAUAACUUAACAGGAUCUGUCCAAGUGCCCCAAGGACCUCGGAUAAACCACUUACAACUAGAACCGCAGGAUUAAGUAAACACAAAUCACACACCAACAAUUUGCAGCGGAAAUCUUAUUACCAAAUUUUACAAGUUACAUGAAGUUUACAUUGUACAUGAUCAGAGUGAUUAAAAAAUUGGUUCAAAGCAUAAACUUUGAAAUGUUAUAAAUUAUUUGUAGUUUUGAAAUAUAUGCUAGCUCAAGUGACCAUCCUCAAUAAGAAGUAUAGAAGAGGUACUUAGACUUAUAAGAAGGCCGAGCCCACCAGCACUUAGCACCAUCCACAGCAACACACUUCUAUUUCGGUUCUUCCUCCUGCUGGGGAACCACCUUUGCACAAAAGUAGCAAAGCUCCGCAGGCUCUUCACCUAAAACAACAUGGGACAAAGCCCUGAGUACGAAGUGUACUUUCGCAAGUCUUACCCGACUAAGGAAAAAGACUCUCAAGGAUAUGCUAGAUUUAGGAAUCAAGGAGAGGAUUUUAGAAAGAAUCAACUUAGAUACUUUUGCAGAAAUAGUUUACUAAAGUGAGUCCUUACUUUCAAUAUCUUAACGCCAGAUUAAAUAUUAAUAGACUCUGGUUGCACCUAGUCUAAUUUCACCAUCUCAUCAAUACAACAUCAUUUUUAUGCAUAAUGUUUACAUCCUGACCAAGGUUGCAUGUCAGUGAUCAAGUCUCGACUAUCCAGGGAUAUAACAGCGAUCCGAAUUGAUUUACUCAGCUGAGGAUCUCUAACCACACGACAUAUGUAGCACUUAACCCUUGCAUAUGUCAACCGUUCCCACAGAUCCUCCACAACGCGAACCGGUCCGCGCUACCCGGGAGCACAGUACUCCUCCAUCCAGCCUCUAGCCAGGAGGGUACACGCUACUCCCACCAUCUCCCACGCCCAGUGCGCGGUUGUCUUUUCACGUAUGGAAUAGCCGGGUUCAAGCUUACCUUGUCCCAUAUCCAGGGCAUGUGGCCAGUUAAGAUAGUUCUUGAUCAUACAGGCCUACAUACACAUCCAAUCCUUAAUUAACCUGGGUGGAGCAUCACGUGUUCCUAGCCCAAGUCUCGAGUUAAGUACUUCCACCCUUAGGAUUUUUUUGUGUUCCUAAGGAUGAAAAGAGCAUUAUAGGGAACUUUGCAGUAAGAUCCCACCAUGCUCCCAAUGCAAAUAUUCUUGCAGGUAGAAGUCAUCCUUCCUCAGGAUAAACCUGAGCUAGGCAUAAGUGCAAAGGACAAACUCUAUCUGCUUAUAAGGAGGGCUAAGCAUUUUUUUGUAAAUCAUAUUUUGAUACUUCACCAGAAGUAUCUAUAAAAGGAAUGUAUUUCCAGGUAGCCAAUGCAUCAAAGGGUUUCCAAGCAACUCCUAUAAACCUAAUGCACAUUCAGUAGACUUAAAGUUUGUAAAAAUAAUUUAAAAACACAAGGAAGGGGUUGCAUGCAUCGGGGCUUGCCUGGGAUAAACACUAGGUUAGUGUUGUUAGACGACGUCUGCUUGACGACCAUCUUUUGUCUUGACAUUCGUCAGAUUAUCCAUCUUCAGGUUCGACUGACAACGUCGUCUUGCGGAGAUGUUCACUCUCUGCAUUAUCCUGGGGUCGUCUUCCGCAUCACGUGAUCAACAAACGUACCUAAAUGAUUUGCAUAAUGCACAUGAAUGCAUAUAAACAAGAAUAGUACGAGAUUAAAUAUUACUACAUGUCCACGAAUUAAACAUUUCGCAGAGAGGCGUUGUACUAUUUCAUACGGAAACACUAGUUAUCGACAUACGACUAAGCGCAAUAAUCACAAAAUAAUAAAAUAUACAUACUAACUACAGCACUCACGUCCUUCCUACUUAACCGAAUUUAACUCAUACAUUAGGCAAUAACACCCUAAGUAUAAGUUCCAUACUUUCCCUAAGCUAUAGCCUAUACCAAACAAUUAACGAAAAUUAGGCUCACGUUUCCAAGAUAAUUAAAUUCAAGACUACAGAUAGAAAUCAUUUAUAGCUUUCUAACCCACUACACUAAUUAGUUCAUACAGUACACUAGACAAACAACAGUAUCACGUAUGACUAGACUGACCACAUCAGAUACGAAGAACCAAUUUAAUUAUACCCUGCACAACUAAUAUGUUUAACUAAAUUCAUCCGACCAAAAGCGGAAGUAACGAAUUGGCUACUAUUACCUAAAUCUGACAUAAAACCGCGAGAUUGACAAUGAUGCCCAGUUCGAGCCUUUCAUUGCGCCACAGGUGGACAACGAAUAGGGACCUUCACGCAAACACACAUACAUACAUAAAUCC
This 8384-nucleotide long non-coding RNA is filed under the name Zea mays. Its description in RNAcentral is "long non-coding RNA (ZMAY_LNC004389)". The record is from RNAcentral. Lineage: Eukaryota; Viridiplantae; Streptophyta; Magnoliopsida; Poales; Poaceae.